Molecule: ribosomal RNA, 498 nt
Filed under: uncultured bacterium
Lineage: Bacteria
Description: partial 16S ribosomal RNA
Rfam family: Bacterial small subunit ribosomal RNA
Source: RNAcentral
GACGAACGCUGGCGGCGUGCCUAAUACAUGCAAGUCGAGCGGACGAAUCGAAAGCUUGCUUUUGAGUCGUUAGCGGCGGACGGGUGAGUAACACGUGGGCAACCUGCCCUGUAGACGGGGAUAACACCGAGAAAUCGGUGCUAAUACCGGAUAACACGAAAUGUCGCAUGACGCUUCGUUUGAAGACGGCGCAAGCUGUCGUUACAGGAUGGGUCCGCGGCGCAUUAGCUAGUUGGUGAGGUAACGGUCCACCAUGGCGACGCUGCGUAGCCGACCUGAGAGGGUGAUCGGCCACAUUGGCACUGAGACACGGCCCAGACUCCUACGGGAGGCAGCAGUAGGGAAUCUUCCGCAAUGGACGAAAGUCGGACGGAGCAACGCCGCGUGAGCGAAGAAGGCCUUCUGGUCGUAAAGCUCUGUUGUUAGGGAAGAACAAGUAACGCAGUAACUGGCGUUACCGUGACGGUACCUAACGAGAAAGCCACGGCUAACUACGUG